GUGGGGAAUCUUAGACAAUGGGCGCAAGCCUGAUCUAGCCAUGCCGCGUGAGCGAUGAAGGCCUUAGGGUUGUAAAGCUCUUUCAGUGGGGAAGAUAAUGACUGUACCCACAGAAGAAGCCCCGGCUAACUCCGUGCCAGCAGCCGCGGUAAUACGGAGGGGGCUAGCGUUGUUCGGAAUUACUGGGCGUAAAGCGCACGUAGGCGGACUGGAAAGUCAGGGGUGAAAUCCCGGGGCUCAACCCCGGAACUGCCUUUGAAACUCCCAGUCUUGAGGUCGAGAGAGGUGAGUGGAAUUCCGAGUGUAGAGGUGAAAUUCGUAGAUAUUCGGAGGAACACCAGUGGCGAAGGCGGCUCACUGGCUCGAUACUGACGCUGAGGUGCGAAAGCGUGGGGAGCAAACAGGAUUAGAAACCCCAGUAGUCA
Molecule: ribosomal RNA, 425 nt
Filed under: uncultured bacterium
Lineage: Bacteria
Description: partial 16S ribosomal RNA
Rfam family: Bacterial small subunit ribosomal RNA
Source: RNAcentral